RNAcentral lists this ribosomal RNA (255 nucleotides) under uncultured bacterium. RNAcentral describes it as "partial 16S ribosomal RNA". It matches the Rfam family "Bacterial small subunit ribosomal RNA", at positions 524 to 777 of the family's 1533-position model. The record is from RNAcentral.
UACGAAGGGGCUAGCGUUGUUCGGAUUUACUGGGCGUAAAGCGCACGUAGGCGGUUUGUUAAGUGAGAGGUGAAAUCCCAGAGCUCAACUCUGGAACUGCCUUUCAUACUGGCAAGCUAGAGUCCGGAAGAGGUAAGUGGGAACUCCUAGUGUAGAGGUGGAAUUCGUAGAUAUUAGGAAGAACACCAGUGGCGAAGGCGGCUUACUGGUCCGGAACUGACGGCUGAGGUGCGAAAGCGUGGGGAGCAAACAGGA